AUGAUUCAUGUUUCGCAGUGAUGGAAGAGUGGCACACGGAGCGAGCGACCCCUCACGCUAACCACCGAAAUUACACUGCUGCUGAAGUAGUGACAUCACGUGGCGAAGAAGCUAUAGUGCUUCAUGGCCUCUGCAUUCAGGCUGUAGGUACAGCACGCUAAAAUGGAAAGGGGUGCACUUUGGUCUCUAUGGCCAUAUCAGCGCUGAACAACCUCCCACGUUGACUGUGUAAUCUGUAUGUCUUACCUGCAUAUAUGUAUAUGUCUCACCUGUUGAAUACAUAUAAGGAUCCUUGCUGAAUGUAUGUAUGAUGUGUACUAUCGGUAGUGAUGUUAAUUUUGGCAUUAUGUAUUUGUAUUGCAAGUACUGACUAUAAGACAAAUUCCCUCUUGGAGGAUAAUAUAGAAUCUAUCUAUCUUCAAAAGAAAGAAACAAUAUUGGUGAAGCAGAAAGUUACCCAGUGGACAGUAGUUACUUUGAGAGUUAAGAGAAGGCUAGGAAUUGGCCAAAAAUGAUGAAUUUAGCAUUUGUACAUUUUAUUUCUCUGAAUCUGGCAACAGAACGCUAAGGUAAAAUUCUGUAAAAAUUGCCCUUCAAUAUGUUUCUUUAGUGCUGGAUCUAUGCCUGAAUGCAACAUUAGAUACCCAUUAUCGUUAUCAUGUUUUAAGACAUUUUGAACCCAUAUUUUUUUGGAUAUAAAUUCCUUGAAGAAUAUGGAGGCAAAAAAUAACAUUGACCUUUCUUUAAUAUUGUUGUUAAAGAAAACAUUAUGAAUUCAUGUAUGCACUUUAUUUGGGGUUUUAUUUAGAAAUGGCAAUGCGUAAUACAUUUGACCAACUAAUACAAUGUGGUUAUGCUGUUGGGGGAGCAUAUGAUGAAUACAGAAAUCAGGAAUACAAUGAAUACUGCAGCUUAAAUUCAACAGCACAAGGUCCUACAUCGUGCUAUUUAAUCACACACGUCUCAAAGGAAAAUGUACCAGAGGACUGUAAAAUAAUAUUUUGCAUGGAAAUUAAAAUAAGUGCUAUAUUUCUGUGGUAAAACAUGAAACAUUAAAUUCAGAAUCAGAUACCUACAGGUACUAUUUCAUGUUCAUUGUAGAUUUUUUCAUAUACCAGAGGUAUUUCAACAUUAUGAUGCUAAAAUAAUUUUAAACCAAACCCAUAUAGUAAAAUAGUUGUUGUCUAUUUGCUUUAAAACGGUGGAUAUAUUUGUAUAACAAACACCUUAAUAAGCCCAGCAACCAACACAAAUUGUCUUGUUAAAAUGGCCGAACUCAGUAAUACUUCUGCAUAGCAAACUGGCUGGUUGGAUUGAAAAACAGGGUGCAAAACAAUCAACAACAAUAAUUACUGAGUAAAUAAAUGAAUGUCUUCUGGUGGCUUCACAGCAAGGUCAGUGUGUGUGUAGGUGGACUAGUCCUGAUACAAAGAGGUAUUCAUUUAAAAUGAAUUUAGCAAAGAGCGGUCCACUGAAUCAUGGAGUAACCAGCUGGCUAUGCAAACAGAGCAAUACAUUUAACACAGAUUUUCAAGCCUAAAAAACAACACACAAUCUCAGAGUUUAAACACAAUUUAUUUAUGCUUAAAUAAUCAACUAGAUCAUCCAGUGUUUGUUGGUUUUUCAUACAUGUUAUUUGAUCUACUAUCCAUGAAUGCUUUAGGUGUUUUCAUAUGAAGAGAUUCAAUGGAAGGAAAUAUUUCACCAAAACCCAAAUAAAAAUGCCCUUUUUAACCACAGCAGCCUUAAAUCCUAUUAAUACACUGCUAGAAUGAUUACAAACGACCGGCUUACGUAAAGACUUCUACAUCUUAUAGCCAAUACACAUGAUACAGUUAUAAUUUUACAGCGUGCCAGUCUACAGGGUACAUUCUGAUUUCUCUCCAAGUGUUCAAGCCCAUGUCUGCAGAGGCCAUCCUUUAUCAGCAAGCAGUAAA
Anguilla rostrata (American eel) is the source of this 1937-nucleotide long non-coding RNA. RefSeq lists it as uncharacterized. The record is from RefSeq and is a predicted model, not a curated record. NCBI's taxonomy places the organism in Eukaryota, Metazoa, Chordata, Actinopteri, Anguilliformes, Anguillidae. The transcript is spliced from 2 exons.